ACUCAAUCUUUUUCUUAUCCAUGUUAUAAGAUUUUUAUAUAAUUAAAUAUUUUACCUGUAUAUUUUACACAUGUGGUGCUGAACACCCCUAAUCUGAAAACUUGAAGUUCAAAAUGGUCCAAAUCCAAGAAUUUUUGAACACCAACAUGGUGACACUAUUGGAAAAUCCCCACCUGGCCUCAAAUAACAGGUCAUGGUCAAAAUCUCAGGCACAAUAAAAAUAUUAUACAAAAUUGCUUCCAAGAUAUGUGCAUGAGAUUUAUAUAAAACGUAAGUGAAUUUUGUUCUUAGACUUGAGUUUCAUCUCCAAUAUAUUUUAUAUAUUUGCAAAUACUUUAAAAAUCUGACAAAAAAAAAAAAGAAAUUUCAAACUCUCUGGUUCCCAGCAUUUCUAAUAAGGGAUAAUUCAAACGGUACCAUCAUUACCUCUGAGGAGUUACAUUUCCAAAUCUAUGAUAAAUGAUAUAUAGUUUGCUGUUUCUUAAGGAGCUAUUUGUACUUUAUACAUUCAUAUCAGCUGAGUUUGGCUGAUCUAAGAAGAAGCUGAAGAGAUGGGAGGGUAGAAGAAGACAGGGGUUAGAGUAUUUCUUCCCUCCUCUUUCUACUUUGGUGCCAGAUCUCUAGGAGUAGAAUCAUCUAGGCCUAUAGCUUUUGCCCUCCUCCAGUCACACCCUAACACUCUUGGCCUCCUAAGACUGUUGACCUCAGGAAUGUACAUGAUAGCAAAAUCACCACUUAAGUUGUCCUCCCUAACAAUUUAUGGCUGUAGUGGCUUCUGCUCAGAUAAGCUACUCUUGGCCAAAUUUAUUUGCAUUUGUUAGUUUUUAUGAUUUCUGGUUAUGACUGGCCCUAAAGUCUCAGCCUCUGAUUGGUAUGAGAAACAUCAAUUUUCAGUUUUCUUAGAUUUUUUUUUUUACCUUGUAGGAAAGAAAUGAUAACUUCCAAGCUGUUUACAUGUCAGAGCUGAAGAAACUGAAUUUUAAAUAUUAGGACUUCUUAAUUAACUUAAAUUUAAAUUUAGAUCCCCACCUGGGGCUAGUGUCUACAUAUUGGAUGCUGCUUUUCUGAAGUUAAUUAGGAUCUCUCUCCUCAUCUUGAACUAUGUUUUCUAGGGAACUCAGCUCAAAUCAUGUCUCUCCUUGCUAUAAUUGCUUUUUUAUAUCAUAAAUAGCCACUGUCCUCAACACUCAUCCUGAGAAAAAUUAGUCAUUGUUAUUAUUUCAUGCAGUAAAUAUUUAUUUACUUUAUAAAUAUAUUGAUUAGUCUCUAGCAUCCAACUAUUUCCUUCUGGGUUUUAUUUCUUUCUUCUUGAAGGAUUUCUUAUUAGUGGUUCUUUCAGAGAUAUCCAUAGAAAAGCUGUCUCAAAUUUUUUUAUGGAAAGUUGUGUCUCUCUUACAUUUAUACAAUGAAUUAUGUUUAAUUAUUUAUGAUAAUAAAUAUAUUUAAUAUAAUGUAGAUGGCAUAUUCAUCAGCCUUUCCGAUACCACCCCAAAACUUAGAGGCUUAAAAUACCAAUCUUCUUUUCCCUUUCUUUUCUUUUUCUUUUGGUGCUACUGGGAAUUAAACACAGGGGUUCUCAUCCAUUGAACUACAUCCUAGCCCUUUUUAUUUUGUUUUGAGACAGGGCUUCUCUAAGAUACCUAGGUUGGCCUUGAACUUGCAAUCCUCCUGCCUCAGCUACCUGAGUAGCUGGGAAUACAGGUGUGCACCAUCACGCUUAGUUACCUUAGUUUCCUUGUCUUGUUUCUGGCAUCUGCACUUUCCAUUUUUCCCUUGAAUUCAAUCUCUGUUAUAUCUUAUCCAUCUUAUUCAUAUCUUUAUGAAGAAAGCAUUCACAUGAGCAUAAUCUGACAAUGCAUAGAAAUUUUUCUAUUCUAAAAUCACAACAUGUGUUAUUUAG
This 1900-nucleotide long non-coding RNA is filed under the name Marmota monax (woodchuck). Lineage: Eukaryota; Metazoa; Chordata; Mammalia; Rodentia; Sciuridae. The record is from RNAcentral.